CGCCUGGUUUACAAAAACAUGUCUUUUUGUUAAUUAUUUAAGGUCUAGCCUGCUCAAUGAGUGUUAAAUAGCCGCAGUAUUUUGACUGUGCAAAGGUAGCAUAAUCAUUAGUUUUUUAAUUGGAAGCUGGAAUGAAUGGUUGGAUGAGAAAGCGACUGUCUCAUUCUAAUUUUGUUGAAUUUUAUUUUUAAGUUAAAAAGCUUAAAUUUUAUAGAAAGACGAGAAGACCCUGUAGAGUUUUACAAGUGAAAUGCUUGGUUUUUUUUAGGUUUUAAUUUGUAAUUAGGUUUAUUCUUGUUUUAUUGGGGUGAUAUGAAAAUUGGUUUAACUUUUCAUUAUUUUUACAUUUAUUUAUGAUUUAUUGAUCCUGAGUUUUUGGAUUUUUAGAAUUAAUUACCUUAGGGAUAACAGCGUAAUUUCUUUAGAGAGUUCUAAUUGAUAAGGAAGAUUGCGACCUCGAUGUUGGAUUAAAGUUAAUUUUUGGUGCAGAAGCUGGAAUUUUAAGUCUGUUCGACUUUUAAAACUUUACGUGAUCUGAGUUUAGACCGG
Molecule: ribosomal RNA, 549 nt
Filed under: Iselma stellaris
Lineage: Eukaryota; Metazoa; Arthropoda; Insecta; Coleoptera; Meloidae
Description: partial 16S ribosomal RNA
Rfam family: Bacterial large subunit ribosomal RNA
Source: RNAcentral